RNAcentral lists this ribosomal RNA (431 nucleotides) under uncultured bacterium. RNAcentral's name for it is "bacterial SSU rRNA". It matches the Rfam family "Bacterial small subunit ribosomal RNA", at positions 488 to 918 of the family's 1533-position model. The record is from RNAcentral.
AAGCACCGGCUAACUCCGUGCCAGCAGCCGCGGUAAUACGGAGGGUGCGAGCGUUAAUCGGAAUUACUGGGCGUAAAGCGCACGCAGGCGGUUUGUUAAGCUAGAUGUGAAAGCCCCGAGCUCAACUUGGGAUGGUCAUUUAGAACUGGCAGACUAGAGUCUUGGAGAGGGGAGUGGAAUUCCAAGUGUAGCGGUGAAAUGCGUAGAUAUUAGAAGGAACAUCAGUGGCGAAGGCGACUCCCUGGCCAAAGACUGACGCUCAUGUGCGAAAGUGUGGGUAGCGAACAGGAUUAGAUACCCUGGUAGUCCACACCGUAAACGCUGUCUACUAGCUGUGUGUGUCUUUAAGACGUGCGUAGCGAAGCUAACGCGCUAAGUAGACCGCCUGGGGAGUACGGCCGCAAGGUUAAAACUCAAAUGAAUUGACGGGG